CCUACGGGUGGCAGCAGUCGAGAAUCAUUCACAAUGGGGGAAACCCUGAUGGUGCGACGCCGCGUGGGGGAAUGAAGGUCUUCGGAUUGUAAACCCCUGUCAUGUGGGAGCAAAUUAAAAAGAUAGUACCACAAGAGGAAGAGACGGCUAACUCUGUGCCAGCAGCCGCGGUAAUACAGAGGUCUCAAGCGUUGUUCGGAAUCACUGGGCGUAAAGCGUGCGUAGGCUGUUUCGUAAGUCGUGUGUGAAAGGCGCGGGCUCAACCCGCGGACGGCAUAUGAUACUGCGAGACUAGAGUACUGGAGGGGGAAGCGGAAUUCGCGGUGUAGCAGUGAAAUGCGUAGAUAUCGAGAGGAACACUCGUGGCGAAGGCGGGUUCCUGGACAUUAACUGACGCUGAGGCACGAAAGCCAGGGGAGCGAAAGGGAUUAGAUACCCGAGUAGUC
RNAcentral lists this ribosomal RNA (446 nucleotides) under uncultured bacterium. RNAcentral describes it as "partial 16S ribosomal RNA". It matches the Rfam family "Bacterial small subunit ribosomal RNA", at positions 338 to 795 of the family's 1533-position model. The record is from RNAcentral.